RNAcentral lists this unclassified non-coding RNA (340 nucleotides) under Hevea brasiliensis (rubber tree). The record is from RNAcentral. Lineage: Eukaryota; Viridiplantae; Streptophyta; Magnoliopsida; Malpighiales; Euphorbiaceae.
UUAUAUAUAUAUAUAUAUAUAUUGCUGCUCUAAAAUUGAAAAUGCUGUCUCAUUUCAUCCCAAUGCAUCAUCAUGGAAGCAAUAUCAACUUGGAGUCAAUUAAUCGCCUGUCGCCAUGUUCAGUUGUUUCCUUCUAAUACAAGUAAGAAGCUAGUUAUUUCUCCCGUGUUAACUAGUUUUAUUUAUGCAUACAGAUAUGAUUAGCAGAUAGUGAAAGCUGAAGUUUGUAAUGUGGCAAUCUUAUAUACAUUUGCAUUUUUGGUUUUAAUUCAGUUCUUGGAAUGCUUGCUAAUGCACAUUGACGAGUGUUAUAAUUUGGAGUAUAUGACUGAGAAAAUAU